CCUACGGGUGGCAGCAGUGAGGAAUAUUGGUCAAUGGCCGGAAGGCUGAACCAGCCAUGCCGCGUGAAGGUCAGUGCCCUAUGGGCGUUAAACUUCUUUUGUGCGGGAGCAAUAAUGGUCACGUGUGGCCAGACAAGAGUACCGUACGAAUAAGCAUCGGCUAACUCCGUGCCAGCAGCCGCGGUAAUACGGGGGAUGCCAGCGUUAUCCGGAUUUAUUGGGGUUAAGGGGUGCGUAGGCUGUGAGGUAAGUCAGCGGUGAAAUGCCCCCGCUCAACGGGGUGAAGUGCCAUUGAUACUGUCUUGCUGGAAUGCGGAUGCCGUGGGAGGAAUAUGUGGUGUAGCGGUGAAAUGCAUAGAUAUCACACAGAACACCGAUUGCGAAGGCAUCUCACGAAUCCGCGAUUGACGCUGAUGCACGAAAGCGUGGGUAUCAAACAGGAUUAGAUACCCCUGUAGUC
Molecule: ribosomal RNA, 460 nt
Filed under: uncultured bacterium
Lineage: Bacteria
Description: partial 16S ribosomal RNA
Rfam family: Bacterial small subunit ribosomal RNA
Source: RNAcentral